AAAAAGGGCUUGUGCUAUGUAUGGCACAUCGUGAUCUCCUGCUUGGGGAUUGCGGUGCGGAAUCGAUAUCAAGAGAUUUCGGAAGCAUAAUUUUUAUAACAGGGGCUGCCUGUGAGCUGCUCUCCGGGCGUCCCG
This 135-nucleotide small nuclear RNA is filed under the name Leptobrachium leishanense (Leishan spiny toad). RNAcentral describes it as "U11 spliceosomal RNA (ENSLLEG00000002959.1)". It matches the Rfam family "U11 spliceosomal RNA". The record is from Rfam by way of RNAcentral. Lineage: Eukaryota; Metazoa; Chordata; Amphibia; Anura; Megophryidae.